This 521-nucleotide long non-coding RNA is filed under the name Struthio camelus australis. RNAcentral describes it as "lncRNA (ENSSCUG00000018710.1)". Lineage: Eukaryota; Metazoa; Chordata; Aves; Struthioniformes; Struthionidae. The record is from RNAcentral.
GAGUGAGAAGGGUACCCUCAGCCUUCCUGGUAGAGUGAGCAAUAGCAGUUGUUUUGUGACUGUGAACUUUGUAACUGAAGAACUGCAUUUUUUCCACAGGCUUUAGAGAUUGUCUGAUCCAAAGAUGACUGUGCUCAGAAGUGUCAGAAUGUACUGGAUGCAUCAGUGUAUGCAGUUCAUGCAAAUAGGAGGCUGAUUAUAGUGCUUUUCAAGGUCUGAGAGGUGUUAUUUAAGUCUCAACACUCCUCCCUGCACACCUACCGCACCUCUGCCAUAGCACUGCUGGGCCUCGCUGGAGAGCUACGUCUGCCAGGCCUGUAGCCAGGAGUGUGUGUCCCAUUUCAGCCUCGGUUUCCUGCUCCUGCAGAGGAAUUGAAGAUGGCAGUAGGGGCCACGCGUCAUGCUUCUACAGUGCUGAGGUUUUUAUCGUUCACUUGAUCGUCACUGAAAUAGAAAGUAUCUUUGUCCAGCUUUUUGCCCCAGGAGGAGGAAGAGAGAAAUUUAGAAAGCACCACAUGUGA